GUUCUCGUGGUGUAGUUGGUUAUCACAUCCGCCUAACACGCGAAAGGUCUGCGGUUCGAACCCGCACGAGAACA
This 74-nucleotide transfer RNA is filed under the name Strigamia maritima. RNAcentral describes it as "tRNA-Val for anticodon AAC". It matches the Rfam family "tRNA". Rfam says of the family: Transfer RNA (tRNA) molecules are approximately 80 nucleotides in length. Their secondary structure includes four short double-helical elements and three loops (D, anti-codon, and T loops). Further hydrogen bonds mediate the characteristic L-shaped molecular structure. tRNAs have two regions of fundamental functional importance: the anti-codon, which is responsible for specific mRNA codon recognition, and the 3' end, to which the tRNAs corresponding amino acid is attached (by aminoacyl-tRNA synthetases). tRNAs cope with the degeneracy of the genetic code in two manners: having more than one tRNA (with a specific anti-codon) for a particular amino acid; and 'wobble' base-pairing, i.e. permitting non-standard base-pairing at the 3rd anti-codon position. Lineage: Eukaryota; Metazoa; Arthropoda; Chilopoda; Geophilomorpha; Linotaeniidae. The record is from RNAcentral.